UUGCGGCCACAUCCCUUGAAAACAUCGGUUCUCGUACGAUCACCGAAGUUAAGCAACGUCGAGUCUGGUCAGUACCUAGAUGAGUGACCGCUUGGGAAUGUCAGGCGCUGUAA
Acanthosepion pharaonis is the source of this 113-nucleotide non-coding RNA. The record is from the annotation of a GenBank genome assembly. Lineage: Eukaryota; Metazoa; Mollusca; Cephalopoda; Sepiida; Sepiidae.